RNAcentral lists this ribosomal RNA (301 nucleotides) under uncultured bacterium. RNAcentral's name for it is "partial 16S ribosomal RNA". It matches the Rfam family "Bacterial small subunit ribosomal RNA", at positions 509 to 807 of the family's 1533-position model. The record is from RNAcentral.
CAGCAGCCGCGGGAAUACGUAGGGUGCAAGCGUUAAUCGGAAUUACUGGGCGUAAAGCGUGCGCAGGCGGUUUGUUAAGACAGAUGUGAAAUCCCCGGGCUUAACCUGGGAACUGCAUUUGUGACUGGCAAGCUAGAGUAUGGCAGAGGGGGGUGGAAUUCCGCGUGUAGCAGUGAAAUGCGUAGAUAUGCGGAGGAACACCGAUGGCGAAGGCAGCCCCCUGGGCCAAUACUGACGCUCAUGCACGAAAGCGUGGGGAGCAAACAGGAUUAGAUACCCCGGUAGUCCCUGUCUCUUAUAC